This is a small nucleolar RNA of Dioscorea cayenensis subsp. rotundata (Guinea yam), 107 nucleotides long. Lineage: Eukaryota; Viridiplantae; Streptophyta; Magnoliopsida; Dioscoreales; Dioscoreaceae. The record is from RefSeq and is a predicted model, not a curated record.
AAUCCAUGUUGAGGACAUUUUCACAUGAGCUCCUUGAACCUUUCCCAUAUCUCAAAUAGAGACCCCAGUUCCAUUUGCAUGAAGGAGGAUAUUUCAUUCCUAAGCUU